Molecule: ribosomal RNA, 254 nt
Filed under: uncultured bacterium
Lineage: Bacteria
Description: partial 16S ribosomal RNA
Rfam family: Bacterial small subunit ribosomal RNA
Source: RNAcentral
GAUCCUGCUCAGAACGAACGCUGGCGGCAGGCUUAACACAUGCAAGUUGAACGGGAUUUGUGUGGUGCUUGCACCAUAUAAUGAGAGUAGCGCACUGGUGAGUAACACGUGGGAACGUACCUUUUGGUGGGGGACAACAUCUGGAAACGGAUGCUAAUACCGCAUAAGACCUGAGGGUGAAAGAUUUAUCGCCGAAAGAACGGCCCGCGGAAGAUUAGGCAGUUGGUGGGGUAAAGGCCUACCAAACCUACGAU